RNAcentral lists this ribosomal RNA (464 nucleotides) under uncultured bacterium. Its description in RNAcentral is "partial 16S ribosomal RNA". It matches the Rfam family "Bacterial small subunit ribosomal RNA", at positions 28 to 507 of the family's 1533-position model. The record is from RNAcentral.
GACGAACGCUGGCGGCGUGCUUAACACAUGCAAGUCGAACGGUAAGGCCCCAGCUUGCUGGGGUACACGAGUGGCGAACGGGUGAGUAACACGUGGGUGACCUGCCCUGCACUUCGGGAUAAGCCUGGGAAACUGGGUCUAAUACCGGAUAGGACCGCACCGUGAGGGUGUGGUGGAAAGUUUUUCGGUGUGGGAUGGGCCCGCGGCCUAUCAGCUUGUUGGUGGGGUAAUGGCCUACCAAGGCGGCGACGGGUAGCCGGCCUGAGAGGGUGGACGGCCACAUUGGGACUGAGACACGGCCCAGACUCCUACGGGAGGCAGCAGUGGGGAAUAUUGCACAAUGGGCGGAAGCCUGAUGCAGCGACGCCGCGUGGGGGAUGACGGCCUUCGGGUUGUAAACUCCUUUCACCAUCGACGUAGGUUUUCUGACGGUAGAUGGAGAAGAAGCACCGGCUAACUACGUG